Long non-coding RNA from Bos taurus (domestic cattle), 1386 nucleotides. Lineage: Eukaryota; Metazoa; Chordata; Mammalia; Artiodactyla; Bovidae. The record is from Ensembl.
UAUCUACAUGAUAUCAGUGAUUUACUGUCCGGCAGUCAAAAUAGUUUCCUUUCUUCUCUCUUACCCAAGUUCACGUUCUGUUGUCUGGUGUCACUUGAUAAUCUUUCAUUCUCUCUUAAAAAAAAAAAGAAAAAAUCGGGUUCUUCUCUCUCUUUUUCCCAUUAAGAUGUGAAUGGGCAGGCAUCUCGGCCAAUAUGUCUCUACAUGGCUGAAUACACUCGGAGAAAAGGAGGGUCUCCUUUGUCUGGACCCUGGAUGGCUGAGUGUCAUUCCGCGCCGAUGGGCAGGGCCUCCCUCGGAGCAGGAACUUUGCGAUAAUUGCCAGAACAAAUUGAACUCAGGCUUAUUGGUUCCUUUCCUUUUUCAGUUGGGAAAUGGAGGGAAUGGGAGAACACGGCCAUUUUUGACCAAUCACAAUAUAGCGUAGAAAUAGAUUGGACACAGCAGUGCCCAGUGGUGUUGCAGACAGCAAUCACGGGGUGUCCUUGUGCAGGGGUGAGAAGGUGCGUCCCCUCGAUCACCUGUCAAUCCCAGAGGAGCUCAGCCCUGAGUGUUCAUUGGAAGGACUGAUGCUGCAGCUGAAGCUCCACUAUUUUGGCCACCUGAUGUGAAGAACUGACUCAUUGGAAAAGACCCUGAUGCUGGGAAAGAUUGAAGGCAGGAGGAGAAGGGGGCGACAGAGGCUGAGAUGGUUGGAUGGCAUCACCAACUCAGUGGACAUGAGUUUGAAAUCUCGAGGGAUCUGACACCUUUCCUGUAUUUCAUUGGCGGUGCUUCUACACCCGUCUGUGUCUGUGCGACCACGGGUUUUAUUCAGCUGUUAGUUCCACGUGCAUGAUGGUAGCUGGAAGCUGUAAUCGACACACGUGAAGGCAAAUUGAUGCAACCGUAGAGGUCAUGUCAAAGUACAGCUGUACCGUUAUAAUCCAUUCUUGGAAAUACAUUUGGAGAGCUACAGGGAUGAACAGACAGCUCCAGGAGGCAAGCUGGGAUAGUGAAGGGUGUAAAAACCAUGACCUGUAAAGGAGGCUCUUUGUUAAUUGGCGGCAAUACAUCCAGUCUAAGCUUCCUUACAACUGGGUGUGGUCGUGUGUCCUGGUUCUGGCUAGUGAGACGAGCAGAAAUGCCAAGUGUGGCAUCUAGGAACGGUGCUUAAGGAGCGCUGGUUCAUCCGAGAGGGGCGCCCUUCUCUGUCGCAGCUCUGGUCUUCCUUUCUGCUGCUUAUAUGCAUGAGAUGGCUAGAGCAGCAGUGACUGAAUUAGACCGUGAAACAUCUGAGAACAAAUGACGCAGGCUGAGAACGGCAAGGCGGAAAACUAAGACGGAUGCCGAUCCCUAGGGACCAGUGCACUGCCGCAGCCACCCCUGACUGCUUUUUCAUGAGAC